CGUGCUUGCUACGCGCUGUGUAGUCGGUGCGAAGCCCCGCGGACAAUGUACCGAUGGUUUUAAUGGUAACAGGCGAACCAUUCGAAGAAUCCUAACUUCGAUAAGGGA
Non-coding RNA from Candidatus Magnetomorum sp. HK-1, 108 nucleotides. Lineage: Bacteria; Pseudomonadati; Thermodesulfobacteriota; Desulfobacteria; Desulfobacterales; Candidatus Magnetomoraceae. The record is from Rfam.